GUCGAACGAACCAUCCUGAAGAUUGAAGCUUGCUUCAUGAUUCAGACCUUGGUGAGUGGCGGACGGGUGAGUAACACGUGGGUAACCUGCCCAAAAGUGGGGGAUAACAUUUGGAAACAAGUGCUAAUACCGCAUAACAACUACUUUCACAUGAUCGUAGCUUGAAAGAUGGCUCUGCUAUCGCUUUUGGAUGGACCCGCGGCGUAUUAGCUAGUUGGUGAGGUAAUAGCUCACCAAGGCAAUGAUACGUAGCCGACCUGAGAGGGUAAUCGGCCACAUUGGGACUGAGACACGGCCCAAACUCCUACGGGAGGCAGCAGUAGGGAAUCUUCCACAAUGGGCGAAAGCCUGAUGGAGCAAUGCCGCGUGAGUGAAGAAGGUUUUCGGAUCGUAAAACUCUGUUGUUGAAGAAGAACAUGCGUGAGAGUAACUGUUCACGUACUGACGGUAUUCAACCAGAAAGCCACGGCUAACUACGUGCCAGCAGCCGCGGUAAUACGUAGGUGGCAAGCGUUGUCCGGAUUUAUUGGGCGUAAAGAGAAUGUAGGCGGUUUAUUAAGUUUGAAGUGAAAGCCCUCGGCUCAACCGAGGAAGUGCUUCGAAAACUGGUAAACUUGAGUGCAGAAGAGGAAAGUGGAACUCCAUGUGUAGCGGUGGAAUGCGUAGAUAUAUGGAAGAACAC
RNAcentral lists this ribosomal RNA (682 nucleotides) under Companilactobacillus farciminis. RNAcentral's name for it is "bacterial SSU rRNA". It matches the Rfam family "Bacterial small subunit ribosomal RNA", at positions 61 to 709 of the family's 1533-position model. The record is from RNAcentral. Lineage: Bacteria; Bacillati; Bacillota; Bacilli; Lactobacillales; Lactobacillaceae.